Molecule: non-coding RNA, 2809 nt
Organism: Chlorocebus sabaeus (green monkey)
Lineage: Eukaryota; Metazoa; Chordata; Mammalia; Primates; Cercopithecidae
Source: RefSeq, a predicted model, not a curated record
GGGUACAAAAAUGAGCUGGGCGUGGUGCUGGGCGCCUGUCAUCCUGCCUGCUCAGCAGACCGAAGUAAGAGAAUUGCCUGAACCUGGGAGGCAGAGGUUGCAGUGAGCGGAGAUUAUGCCACUACACUUCAGCCUGGGCAACAGUGAGAAACUGUCUCAAAAUAAACAAAUACAUAUAUACAUAUAUACAUACAUACAUACAUACAUACAUACAUACUCUACUCUUAACCAAUAUUAUAAACGAACAAAAAAAGAGUAUAUUUAAAGAAGUAAUAAAGACAAAGUGUAAACAUUGUGGGAUAAAAGAAACAUCAUCCUGAAGAUAUUAGCAAGUGUACGUAUCUUAAAAAGAUUUAUUAUAAAAAAGAAAAAUAACUGGAAAACUUUUAGCUUCCUGGAGAGAAUACGAGAAGACAUGGCCCCUCUGAAAGAAGAAGAGAAAGAUAAAAAGAGAUAAUAGCUUGGGGUUUAAUGAUAAAUGGAUGAGGUAAAUAAAGAUGCAAGUGUUACAGAUUAUUACAUUGGUGACACAAAUUAAUGACCUCCCUCUAGCCACAACACCCUUUGCGAUGUCAUUUUACAGCCCCUCCCAUGAAGAAAUGGAAUCUAUUUCUCCAAGCUGGAAUUAGAGCUGGCCUGGAGAUGGGUUUGACCAAUGAAAUGCUCGAAUUAGAGCUGGCCUGGGGAUAUAUUUUGACCAAUGAAAUGCUCGAAUUUGAGCUGGACAGGAGAUCCACUUUGACCAAUAAAAUGCUCGAAUUAGAGCUGGCCUGGAGAUACGCUUUGGCCGAUGAAAUGCUCUGAAACGUUAUCACGCCAGUUGUGAAACUAGGCCUCAAGAGGCUGUGCUUUGUUUUACUCUCUCUUUCUGUGCCUUCUGCCGUGAGUGUAAGCUCAGGUAGUCUGCUGAAGAAUGAGGGGCCACAUGAGUAGAAAAUGAGUGGAUCCACUGUGAGGGUAUCCUAGACCCACAAGUCCCCAGUCAACUGGCCAACUAGCAGCAGCUUCAUGAAUGAGCCUAGGCAAGAUCGGCCAGGCCUGGCCCAGAACAGCAAAACUGCCCUGGCUGACCCAUGGACACAGGAAAAAUAAAUAAACAAUUGUAGUUUUAUGCUAUAUAUUUUGGAGCUGUGUAUUACUCAGCAAAAGCUAUGGUAACGAAACACGUAGCUAGAAAGAUAAAAGAUGAAAUGCACUAGAAAUAUCAGUUAUUUCCUCCAUCAAUUAUAUUUUUUUCCUACUCUAUGUUACCUUUAGAAAAGUAUCUGCCCAAAGUUCUUCAUCUGACCAUCUGCCUUCCCACUGAAGGGGCAUCAGGUCAUGUGGCCCUAUUCCCCCAAAACCACAGCUAUGGGGACCAAGAGUAGAAAUCUGGCUCAAGUUGGACGCAUCAGAAUCUCAUUUAUGAGAAUUUAAAAUUAGCUUCCAAAGGCUCUGAUCAGCAUUUAAAACGAGGGAAGGCUCUUAUGAGGAGAUAAAUAAAACCAAUGUACAAAAUGAAGCAGAGAAGAGAGUAUAUAAGGCCUCAGAGACAGAAACAGAGAAAAUGGACUGUGCUACAGGUUACUUCCUGGGAGCCCACAAGAUACCUGUGUCCAUAUUGUUUUCUUUUUCCCAUUGUAGAAUAUGUUUCCAUUUUGCAUGCCUCAGAGGGUCACCUGCUCAUUCUUCAAGACAAGACAACUCAAUAGGAUAGAAUGACCAUGUUUUCAUUUACUGAAACCAAAUUUAGCAAAGAUAUAGAAAUACUAUAAUAUACAAAGGAUUUUUGGCUUUUCUAACUUCUACUAUUGUAUCUCCUUUAUAUAGUUACUUUCUUUUUAGGAAGGGCAAGAAGAAAAGGUAGAUUUUCAUGAGAAAAUUUCAAAAGUAGAUCUUUCCUCUUCAAUUUUUUAAAAUGUCAAAUGUUUACACAUGAAGAGUAAAAUGGAGAACGGACACACUUCUCUAGAAACAUCAGGCUUCCAGUAUUAAUUAGGAAAUAAUGUGGUUUCUGCUGUGAAGAUCCUAACUCUGUUUCUUCCAGGGUGCUGGACUGUUCUUCCCAUCAGAUAAAGAUGUGCACAGCAGGAACCACUAGAUGGAGGUGGAGAUGAAAAUGAAAUUCACGUUAUUUCCCGAAGCUGCCAGUGCUGGUCCCACAAGUAGCAACCCAGAUCCUGAAGGCAUCCUUCCUGGAAGUUUUACUAAAAGAUGAUCCAAACACCUAACUAUACUGAUUUAAAACAGCACCACCAAUAACAACAACAAACCUAAGGCCCAGAGGCACAGUGUUUGGACCAGCCCAGGAGCCCUCACUCACAAGCACUUCUAUCGGACUUAGCUGAUCCCUCAGAAGACCCCGGACACCACAAAGGGUCAUCAGCACAAUCUUGAUGGAUGUCUAAGAAGUAAAGAUUGAUUUUUGCCUAAUGACAAUAAAGUCAUCCCUAAGUUAAAUAUCUGUACAUUAAAUAUAUAUUAAAUAUGUAUUAAAUACAUAAUAUAUUAAAUAUUAAAUUAAAUAUUAAAAUGCAUGUAUAUUCUGAGCUUUACUGUGUUUUUCAUGAAGACACUGUUAAAGACUAGAGCCCGAUAUGUUAAAAAAAUGAGUGAGUAAUCUUAUUAUAAGAAUCAUAAUAUGGUCCCUUUUCUUCAUCCUGCUAUAUAUAACAGUCUGUUACACAACCUCCAUUAUUCUCCUAAUGAAGCCUCUUCACAUCAUCACUUUGAGAACCAUUAUCCUCACUUAGCAAUUUUUUUUUUUCUUUGAGAUGCAGUCUGUCACCCAGGCUGGAAUGCAGUGGUGCGAUCACGGCUCACUGCAAUC